GACGAACGCUGGCGGCGUGCUUAACACAUGCAAGUCGAACGGAAAGGCCCUGCUUUUGUGGGGUGCUCGAGUGGCGAACGGGUGAGUAACACGUGAGUAACCUGCCCUUGACUUUGGGAUAACUUCAGGAAACUGGGGCUAAUACCGGAUAGGAGCUCCUGCUGCAUGGUGGGGGUUGGAAAGUUUCGGCGGUUGGGGAUGGACUCGCGGCUUAUCAGCUUGUUGGUGGGGUAGUGGCUUACCAAGGCUUUGACGGGUAGCCGGCCUGAGAGGGUGACCGGCCACAUUGGGACUGAGAUACGGCCCAGGCUCCUACGGGAGGCAGCAGUGGGGAAUAUUGCACAAUGGGCGGAAGCCUGAUGCAGCAACGCCGCGUGCGGGAUGACGGCCUUCGGGUUGUAAACCGCUUUCGCCUGUGACGAAGCGUGAGUGACGGUAAUGGGUAAAGAAGCACCGGCUAACUACGUGCCAGCAGCCGCGGUGAUACGUAGGGUGCGAGCGUUGUCCGGAUUUAUUGGGCGUAAAGGGCUCGUAGGUGGUUGAUCGCGUCGGAAGUGUAAUCUUGGGGCUUAACCCUGAGCGUGCUUUCGAUACGGGUUGACUUGAGGAAGGUAGGGGAGAAUGGAAUUCCUGGUGGAGCGGUGGAAUGCGCAGAUAUCAGGAGGAACACCAGUGGCGAAGGCGGUUCUCUGGGCCUUUCCUGACGCUGAGGAGCGAAAGCGUGGGGAGCGAACAGGCUUAGAUACCCUGGUAGUCCACGCUGUAAACGGUGGGUACUAGGUGUGGGGUCCAUUCCACGGGUUCCGUGCCGUAGCUAACGCUUUAAGUACCCCGCCUGGGGAGUACGGCCGCAAGGCUAAAACUCAAAGGAAUUGACGGGGCCCCGCACAAGCGGCGGAGCAUGCGGAUUAAUUCGAUGCAACGCGUAGAACCUUACCUGGGUUUGACAUGGAUCGGGAGUGCUCAGAGAUGGGUGUGCCUCUUUUGGGGUCGGUUCACAGGUGGUGCAUGGCUGUCGUCAGCUCGUGUCGUGAGAUGUUGGGUUAAGUCCCGCAACGAGCGCAACCCUUGUUCACUGUUGCCAGCACGUUAUGGUGGGGACUCAGUGGAGACCGCCGGGGUCAACUCGGAGGAAGGUGGGGAUGACGUCAAGUCAUCAUGCCCCUUAUGUCCAGGGCUUCACGCAUGCUACAAUGGCUGGUACAGAGAGUGGCGAGCCUGUGAGGGUGAGCGAAUCUCGGAAAGCCGGUCUCAGUUCGGAUUGGGGUCUGCAACUCGACCUCAUGAAGUCGGAGUCGCUAGUAAUCACAGAUCAGCAACGCUGCGGUGAAUACGUUCCCGGGGCU
RNAcentral lists this ribosomal RNA (1346 nucleotides) under uncultured bacterium. RNAcentral's name for it is "partial 16S ribosomal RNA". It matches the Rfam family "Bacterial small subunit ribosomal RNA", at positions 28 to 1381 of the family's 1533-position model. The record is from RNAcentral.